UUAACUAUUAAAAUAUAGUACUCAGACGACACUAACAAUUCAGAGUUUGUUUUUCCUCCGGCAGGCGACUCCCAGGCCCGAAGGCGCUGGGGCUGUCCCCCGAGGGGUGCAGCAACCUGCCAAAGCAACAUAGUAUAAAUACACAAGGGUGGGAGGUCUACCCGUGAGGGCAUGAACUCUGUAAUGAUCCUUCCGCAGGUUCACCUACGGAAA
This 213-nucleotide unclassified non-coding RNA is filed under the name uncultured fungus. RNAcentral's name for it is "sequence contains ITS1, 5.8S rRNA gene". Lineage: Eukaryota; Fungi. The record is from RNAcentral.